Long non-coding RNA from Lineus longissimus, 279 nucleotides. RefSeq lists it as uncharacterized. The transcript has 3 exons. The record is from RefSeq and is a predicted model, not a curated record. Lineage: Eukaryota; Metazoa; Nemertea; Pilidiophora; Heteronemertea; Lineidae.
AAAUUGAUGACCUUUACUGGAAGGUGUUAUUAUUCGUUUCAUUUGUUUUUGUCUUGUUCGGGAGUAAAGUUAGAGAGUUCAUUAGCGUCAGCAAAAUGACCACCAGCGACCCACUACGAAUUCCACCUUUGGAACAGGGCAGAAAUGGUGAAAUUGUGUCAUCAUUCAGAGUACUUUCAAGCCAAAGUCAACAGGGGCGUGGGCUACAUGAAGCGACGGCAGGAUAGGAAAGAUAGGGUAUACAUUCUGGCACACAGCAGUCUGAACCUCCGCCAAAAC